This 473-nucleotide ribosomal RNA is filed under the name uncultured organism. RNAcentral's name for it is "partial 16S ribosomal RNA". It matches the Rfam family "Bacterial small subunit ribosomal RNA", at positions 331 to 796 of the family's 1533-position model. The record is from RNAcentral.
GUACACUCCUGCGGGAGGCAGCAGUGGGGAAUUUUGAACAAUGGGCGAAAGCCUGAUCCAGCCAUGCCGCGUGCAGGAUGAAGGCCUUCGGGUUGUAAACUGCUUUUGUACGGAACGAAACGGCCUUUUCUAAUAAAGAGGGCUAAUGACGGUACCGUAAGAAUAAGCACCGGCUAACUACGUGCCAGCAGCCGCGGUAAUACGUAGGGUGCAAGCGUUAAUCGGAAUUACUGGGCGUAAAGCGUGCGCAGGCGGUUAUGUAAGACAGUUGUGAAAUCCCCGGGCUCAACCUGGGAACUGCAUCUGUGACUGCAUAGCUAGAGUACGGUAGAGGGGGAUGGAAUUCCGCGUGUAGCAGUGAAAUGCGUAGAUAUGCGGAGGAACACCGAUGGCGAAGGCAAUCCCCUGGACCUGUACUGACGCUCAUGCACGAAAGCGUGGGGAGCAAACAGGAUUAGAAACCCGUGUAGUCC